RNAcentral lists this long non-coding RNA (1491 nucleotides) under Mus musculus (house mouse). RNAcentral describes it as "predicted gene 3764". The record is from RNAcentral. Lineage: Eukaryota; Metazoa; Chordata; Mammalia; Rodentia; Muridae.
GAGAGCGCCCCCGCCAGAGCAGCGGCCAAGGCUGAGGAGAGAGCUGGGACUCGAGACCCUGCUCCACCCUGCUGGCUCUCGCUCGGCCCCAUUACCUGGCAAGCCCCGGCAUCCUUGACCCACGUCCGUGGCGCUGCCUGGGUAGGAACGCGCCUGAAGACCGCGCAGGACACUACCACUGGGCAUCCUGGGUUUGAUGCAGACAUCCUGCACUACAUUCCAGAUCUGAUGAGGCAUGGCUGCCCCAGGAUUACUGGGCUCGGACGGGAGCAGUGGUAGGAAGGAUCCUAUAUAAGUCAUGUGAGACAUAGAAUGUUCAGAUCAACUGAAGCUGAAACAAGCCUUUGGCAUCAUAUAUAACCCAGAAAGGGACAAAGCUGAUCCCAGAGGACUCAAGGCUAUGGGUGAUGUCGAAGGUGCGGAAGAAUCAAGUUGGAAAGACCAGCAGGAGACAGACAGAGUAAGGUUCCUUGAAUGCUUGGUUUAUGUGCCUGGCUGGAGGAGACACCCAUGGCCUUGCAGAGGGAGCGUUCUGGUGGGAAAGCAGACACAACCCACCCUAGGCCCGUGGUUUCCCUGCAAGAAGCCCAGUGGCUUUCUGGAGGACACUUUUCCUGGAGGAAGUGACUCAAGUGGGCAGAGACCACCUCCCUCAUUGCCGCUUUGGGUUUGGACCGCUUUAAACAGUAAAGUGACUGUCGACGGCUCAGUCUACAGGGAGGAGAACAAAAGACAGGGUCAGGGCUGGGCAGACUGGACAGGCAUAAGCCAGGCUCUAUGGAAUGUUGGGUGAGCUGCUUGAGGAACUCCAAGGCCUGUCCCACAGUCUUCCAGCCUCCGACUCUCCGGCCCUCAGCGAGGCUUCCCUCCCUCCCAGUGCUGAUUUCCUGUGGACCAGAUUCCAGCACAGUGGAGGGCCAGAGCUCAGGGAACAGACCCAGCAGCACAGCAAGUCUCCAAGGAAAGCUCUAGCAGUCUCCAGGGGCUGAAGGCAGGACUGGGGAAGCGGCUAGCCAGGCUGCAGAAGGCAAAUGCUCCCAGACGGCUGUCCAGCACGCAUCCGCCUUCCUAGCCAAGUUUCCUGGGCUCCUGCCACAGAUCUAAGCCUCAUCCUGACAUCCUGCCCUCUGUGCUCUGGGAUGGCCCAGGGGAGAUGCUUAGCCUUGGCUCCUUGUCUGCUGGUGGAGGGGACACACACCCUUUCUGGACCACAGACCAAAAAGAAGACCUGACGUCAUCCUGAGCACCCCCGCCAUGCAGAGUGUGUUCGCAGACUGCCAACGGGCUGGCUCCGGCCAGCAGAAGUGAACAGAGGUGGAGGUUCAGCCUGACAGCUUCUCCCCAAAGCCAUGGAGAGAAAACCUUACCACCCCCACCGCCCAGCUACUUCCAGCAAGUUGUCCAGCCUGACCCCUCUAUUUCCCCUGUUGUCUCUUAUCUGGGUCCCUGAGACCCACCCCAUCUCCAAUAAAGAACAUUGCAUACUGUGCA